AGAAGUAGUAGUAUAAAACAGUGGAAGAUGGAGGCAGAAUCUAGGGUUUGGGAUUGCUGGGAUUGGAGUGGGAGGAGUUGAAUUAGCGAAGAAGUAAUCGAUGUCGAAGGCAGUUUCAGAAUCUAUUGAUAUUAGGGCUUACGAUGUUUUCCUCAGUUUUAGAGGAGAAGACACUAGACGCAGUUUCACGGGUAAUCUCUACAAUUAUUUGGAGAAAAGGGGAAUCCAUACCUUCAUUGGCGACUACGAUUUUGAGAGUGGAGAGGAAAUCAAAGCAUCACUUUCGGAGGCGAUUGAACGUUCAAGAGUUUUCGUUAUAGUGUUCUCCGAGAACUAUGCUUCUUCUUCUUGGUGCUUAGAUGAACUUGUACGUAUCCUUGACUUCACCGAGGAUAACCAUCGACCGGUUAUUCCAGUUUUCUAUUACGUUGAUCCGUCCGAUGUGAGACAUCAGAAGGGGAUCUAUGGAGAAGCACUGGCUAUGCAUGAGAGAAGACUCAACCACGAGUCGUACAAAGUCAUGAAAUGGAGGAACGCACUGCGUCAAGCUGCUACUUUGUCCGGUUGGCCUUUCAAACAUGGCGAUGGAUAUGAAUACGAGUUGAUUGAGAAGAUUGUGGAGGACAUUUCCAACAAGAUUAAGAUUAGUCGACCUGUUGUGGAUCGCCCAGUUGGCCUCGAGUAUCGAAUGCUUGAAGUAAACUGGCUGCUGGAUGCCACAUCCCUUGCUGGAGUACAUGUGAUAGGGAUUUGUGGCAUGGGUGGCAUUGGAAAAACAACACUUGCCCGUGCUGUAUACCAUUCCGCUGCUGGCCACUUUGAUACCUCGUGUUUCCUUGGUAACGUCAGGGAAAAUGCUAUGAAGCAUGGCUUAGUGCAUCUCCAGCAAACCCUGCUUGCUGAGAUAUUCCGUGAGAACAAUAUUCGUCUGACAAGUGUCGAGCAAGGAAUUUCACUAAUAAAGAAGAGGCUCCACAGGAAGAGGCUUCUUUUGGUUCUUGACGAUGUCCGUGAGCUAGAGGACUUGCAGGCUCUUGUUGGAAGUCCUGAUUGGUUUGGCCCUGGCAGCAGAGUCAUCAUUACCACUAGAGACAGACAGUUGCUUAAAGCCCAUGGGGUUGACAAGGUAUACGAGGUAGAAGUUUUGGCCAACGGUGAAGCUCUCAAAUUGCUUUGUUGGAAGGCCUUCAGAACCGACAGAGUUCAUCCAGAUUUCAUUAGUAAAUUAAACCGUGCAAUCGCUUUUGCUUCUGGCAUUCCUUUGGUUCUUGAACUUAUAGGUUCAAGCUUGUAUGGUAGAGGAAUAGAAGAAUGGGAAUCUACUUUGGAUCAGUAUGAAAAAAAUCCUCAUAGAGACAUACACAUGGCACUUAAAAUAUCCUUCGAUGCUCUGAGUUACCUCGAGAAGGAGGUUUUUCUAGACAUUGCAUGUUUCUUCAAUGGAUUUGAAUUAGCAGAGAUCGAGCAUAUACUUGGUGCACAUCACGGUUGCUGUUUGAAAAUUCAUAUUGGAGCAUUGGUGGAAAAAUCUCUUAUAAUGAUUGACGAGCAUGGCUGUGUUCAGAUGCAUGAUUUGAUGCAACAAAUGGGUAGAGAAAUUGUUCGACAGGAAUCACAGGAGCACCCUGGCAAACGCAGUAGGUUAUGGUCUACUGAGGAUAUAGUUCGUGUUUUAGAAGAUAACACAGGAACAUCUAAAAUCCAAAGUAUAAUUCUGGAUUUCUCCAAAUCUGAAGAAGUGGUACAAUGGGAUGGAAUGGCCUUCGUGAAGAUGAUAAGCCUCAGAACACUUAUUAUCAGAAAGGAGUGUUUUUCCAAAGGUCCAAAAAAACUUCCAAAUAGCUUAAGAGUGCUGGAGUGGUGGGGCUAUCCCUCAAAGUCUUUACCAUCCGAUUUUAAGCCAGAGAAACUAGCUAUACUGAAGUUACCCUAUAGUGGCUUUAUGUCACUUGAGUUGCCAAACUUUUUGCAUAUGAGAGUUUUGAAUUUUGACAGGUGUAAAUUUUUAACACGGACACCUGAUUUAUCUGGUGCCCCAAUUUUAAAAGAAUUAUCUUCUGUUUUUUGUGAGAAUUUAGUUGAAAUUCAUGAUUCGGUUGGAUUCCUAGAUAAACUUGAAAUCAUGAACUUUGAGAGUUGUAGCAAGCUUGAGACUUUUCCACCAAUCAAGUUGACCUCUCUUGAAAGCAUCAACUUUUCGUAUUGUUCAAGUCUUGUGAGUUUUCCUGAAAUAUUAGGAAAGAUGGAAAACAUAACGCAUCUUUCUUUGGAGUACACUGCCAUAAGUAAAUUACCAAAUUCAAUUAGAGAACUUGUCCGACUUCAAAGUUUAGAACUGCACAACUGUGGAAUGGUUCAGUUACCGAGUAGCAUUGUCACAUUGCGAGAACUUGAGGUGUUGAGUAUUUGCCAAUGUGAAGGGUUGCGAUUUUCAAAACAGGACGAAGAUGUGAAAAAUAAGAGCUUACUGAUGCCCUCUUCAUAUUUGAAACAAGUCAAUUUAUGGUCCUGCAGUAUAUCUGAUGAAUUCAUUGAUACAGGACUCGCUUGGUUUGCCAAUGUGAAAAGCUUAGAUCUUUCAGCAAAUAAUUUUACAAUUCUUCCUUCAUGCAUCCAAGAAUGUCGCCUUUUGAGGAAACUAUAUUUGGACUACUGUACGCAUCUUCAUGAAAUUAGGGGGAUUCCACCCAAUUUAGAAACAUUAUCUGCAAUUCGGUGCACAUCCUUGAAAGAUUUAGACCUUGCAGUUCCUCUUGAAUCCACCAAAGAAGGUUGCUGUUUGAGACAACUUAUUUUGGAUGAUUGUGAGAAUCUUCAAGAAAUUAGAGGGAUUCCACCAAGCAUAGAGUUUUUGUCUGCAACAAACUGCAGAUCCUUGACUGCCUCAUGUAGGAGAAUGCUACUGAAACAGGAGUUGCAUGAGGCUGGAAAUAAGAGAUAUUCUUUGCCAGGAACAAGGAUUCCAGAAUGGUUUGAGCACUGCAGCAGGGGACAAUCAAUUUCCUUUUGGUUUCGUAACAAGUUCCCAGUAAUAUCUCUCUGUCUUGCUGGACUCAUGCAUAAGCACCCUUUUGGACUUAAACCUAUUGUGUCCAUUAAUGGCAAUAAAAUGAAGACCGAGUUUCAAAGGAGAUGGUUUUAUUUCGAGUUCCCAGUAUUAACUGAUCAUAUACUUAUAUUUGGUGAAAGGCAGAUUAAAUUUGAAGAUAAUGUGGAUGAAGUAGUUUCAGAAAAUGAUUGGAAUCAUGUAGUGGUCUCUGUUGAUGUUGAUUUCAAAUGGAACCCAACAGAGCCGCUUGUUGUGCGGACUGGACUCCAUGUAAUCAAACCAAAAAGUAGCGUGGAAGAUAUUCGAUUCAUUGAUCCUUAUAAACCCACCUUCUUAUAAAGAAAAACAUAAUAUUAGAUGACUUGGGAGUCUCAAAGACCAUUUGUGUGACGCAAAAAGAAUUGGCAUCAUUUGAUUCAUUGCUACCACAUUAACAAAGUGGUGGAGACUGGAGAGUGAUUUUCGUUGCUUCAACCCUCUAGCAUUAAAAGAUAAUGUGAAUUGGGAUUCAACUUUGAUGGCAUCAUGCAUCCCAGAUGAGUAGUACAGCUGGUGUUCAAUAUUGCUAUUGAUGGAGGCAAGCAAUUGUUGGCAUUAAUUUCUCCUUUUGUUAUGAAUUACUUGGUAAGUUUAUGGAGAUUGAGUUUUUCACCAUAAGAUCCACACUGAGGUGGCUUUUGGUAGGGGGAGAAGUUUUUAGUUUGAUGAGAACCAUAGAUUGGAAAUCUUCGUUUCCUAUGUUCGGUAUCUAUUUUAAAAAAAGACAUUCCUGGUAAAGAAGUUUUCCCGGGAAUGAUUUUUAAUUAAGUUUCUCACAAAAACUUUCCCAUGAAACUUUCCCAUGGGAGAGGUGGGAAUCUUUUGAGUUAAUUUUUUUUUCUUAUAUAGUAAAAAUUAUUAUGUUACUCUUAUUAGAUUAUUUAAUGUGGUUAAUAAUUAAAGUAAUUGACAAAAAUAUCACAUAACUCUUUGAUUCUCAUUAAA
Glycine soja is the source of this 4033-nucleotide RNA transcript. It is a transcript of the gene named TMV resistance protein N-like, with no coding region annotated. The record is from RefSeq and is a predicted model, not a curated record. NCBI's taxonomy places the organism in Eukaryota, Viridiplantae, Streptophyta, Magnoliopsida, Fabales, Fabaceae. The transcript is spliced from 5 exons.